RNAcentral lists this transfer RNA (76 nucleotides) under Candidatus Eremiobacteraceae bacterium. RNAcentral's name for it is "tRNA-Ala". It matches the Rfam family "tRNA". From Rfam's summary of the family: Transfer RNA (tRNA) molecules are approximately 80 nucleotides in length. Their secondary structure includes four short double-helical elements and three loops (D, anti-codon, and T loops). Lineage: Bacteria; Bacillati; Vulcanimicrobiota; Vulcanimicrobiia; Candidatus Eremiobacterales; Candidatus Eremiobacteraceae. The record is from RNAcentral.
GGGGGAUUAGCUCAGUUGGUAGAGCGCGUGCUUUGCAAGCAUGAGGUCAGCGGUUCGAGCCCGCUAUCCUCCACCA